Molecule: long non-coding RNA, 399 nt
Filed under: Astyanax mexicanus (Mexican tetra)
Lineage: Eukaryota; Metazoa; Chordata; Actinopteri; Characiformes; Acestrorhamphidae
Description: lncRNA (ENSAMXG00005011101.1)
Source: RNAcentral
UUAUAUAACAUUGUUGGUUAAUAGCUUUUAGGGCUUUCUGUGUUCUUCAGAUACCUCUCUCUUUCUCCCGUCUGCAGCCUCUUUCAGUAAUUUUCUGUAUUUUAUUUAAUGCGUCUCUCCACAGCUCAUAAGCACUCAGAGUUCUUCUAGAGGGCAUAUUGGAAAGGGUUGCGAUCGUUUUCUCCAUCAGACUGAUGGACUGUCCUCCAGACCUUGGGCGACUGAAAAAGAAAAGGAUUUGUAGAACUGGUCCCCGUGGGUUUGCAGCCUACCAGGAAUCACUGGGAGCAAGGCAGGAAAUACCCUUUCUGGACAGGGCACCACUCCAAUGCAAGCCUUUCAUCAAGUGCUUGGUUUGCAAAAUAUGAUGUGUGUUGUAGAACUUCCAAUAUGGAUGGA